AUGGGCGGUGUCGAUCAGAGAUCAGCCACUGCAGUGACACAGCGGCGCGCGCUGUGUUUCCUUUUUGCUGCACAAAAAGGCGAAAAGAGGAAACUUCACCACGCUGUUUCGGGGGCUUUUGCUGUAAGAGGAGCCGAGAACCUGGCAUCCUAUGCAGCAAGAUGUCACUUCUGCCAACCCGACAAGUGUCCCAGCGGCGUGCAAACGGAGCCAGGAGACUUUGGCAUCUCAGCAACGCCACAACCUUGGUGCCGUGGAGCCCCGCGGAGGCAGGAUGGGCCCGGGGAAGCUGCUCGGGGCCGCUGGCCUAGUAGGGAGGCGCGGGAAAAAAAUGCAAACUCAGACCUGGUCGGAUCCUUGGGCCCAGCAGCAGACAAGCGAUGCACGUGCCUGCGGGCUCGCAGGAGCCGUGCCUGUGCACUUCUUCGUGAACAGCAUCGCAAAGUCACGGAGAAGACGGGUCUUUGGUCUAAUCCAACACCAGCAGGCAGAGCAGUGAAGAGUGAGAGCUGAGACCUUGCGUGCCAGGAGCAGCCUCCUUCCAGCCAGGCACUGGCUGAAGCCUUUCCAGACCCGUCACAAGAGGGAGACAAAAAGCCAACAGCGGCAGGACAUUUGGCCUUGAAACAUUGAUUUACAACAUAAAAUGGAAACGUUUCAUUUCCAAAAUGAGAAGCAGAGUGUUUCAGCUCUUCCUGUGUUGGGGGUUGCAUAGGAAAAUGGCAUGGGCUGAAAGUCUCCCUCCAGUUCGAAAUGCAUUUUCCACAAAAUGCAAUUUCUGCAUUGUUCCAGACUCUGUUUCCUGGUUAGUAAAAUACUUUAUCUGGAAGACCUGUGAGCCUGACUAAAGGAAAAUUGUGCAACUAUCAGCGAGAGCUGCAAGGAAGAAGACUGAGGUCUUUUACAUGCCCAGAAGAUACUUCCGUGCUCCGGACCUCUGUCACGGUGGAUUUAUGCAGCUCCACAAGAAGGAAGCAGACAUGUCAAGCUCACACUUCCUUCAACUUGAUCUUCUCCCGCACCCACUGACAUUAAGCAGCAUCCUUUGCCCGCUGCUGAUACCACACAGUCUGCUGACAUCCUCCCACUCCAGCCCGUGAAGGUCAUCACCACCUAGCGUCAGCCAAAUUAGCCACGUGUGCAGCCAGCACAUCAGCCCCGGGCCAAAAGGCCUCAUUAGGAGCUGUUUAUCUUCAUCCUCACGACAGAUAACCUCGACAAAACGAGCAUCUAGGGUCACACGCUCUAUACACUCCUGCAGGAAAGCCCUCCCUGGGCGGGCGCCUUUUGGGCCGAGAAAGUUCAAGAAUGGGGCAGGCGAAGGGAGCUGCCAUGCCAGGAAGACUGGAGCCACUAGACCAAUGUGGACCCUAUGAGGUGGCAAGGGACUGUGCUGCGGCCCCCCCCCCAGGUCCACCGCAGAGCAUAUACAGCGGUGACAUGUUGCUCGGCACAGCCCUUUGGUGUUCAGGCCACCAGUCGCUUUUAAGGAAAGGACCCUACAGCUACAUUU
RNAcentral lists this long non-coding RNA (1513 nucleotides) under Struthio camelus australis. RNAcentral's name for it is "lncRNA (ENSSCUG00000000364.1)". The record is from RNAcentral. Lineage: Eukaryota; Metazoa; Chordata; Aves; Struthioniformes; Struthionidae.